Electrophorus electricus (electric eel) is the source of this 1026-nucleotide long non-coding RNA. RefSeq lists it as uncharacterized. The record is from RefSeq and is a predicted model, not a curated record. Lineage: Eukaryota; Metazoa; Chordata; Actinopteri; Gymnotiformes; Gymnotidae.
CCCACACACACACAAACAUGCACGCACUCUCUCUCUCCAUCUCUCUCUCUCCAUCUCUCUCUCUCUUUCUGGCAUGCGUGCCCCCGCAUCUGGACACCGGCUGUGGGGACUUCGCGGAGGAGCGUCACGCCGGGAGGACGCUGGGCUCCCCGUCACGCUGCCCAAGAAAGAUGUUUUUCUUAGUCGCUCCAACAGACAGGAAUCUACAUGCAGGGAAGAAAGCGUCACUCUCCCCCAGGAGUGAAGCACAAAGGCCGGCAUGCACACGGCAGAUGCCAAAGCAGGUCCAUCUGCUACCAGGCCGCUCUGCCACAUGGGCUUGGAGAGGCUGAGGAGAGAGGCUUUCAUACCUGGAUCUGUGCGCACACACCACUGGCAGAGGAGUGAGCGAUCCAGCUGUUUCUGAACCGAGCUUUGGACCGCCAAGGUCAAUGAGGACAAACAACCCCAGCAGCGGCACUUGAGCACUGGCAGAAGAAAGCGAGCCGCUGGUGGGAGGCGGUCGAACUGUCUAGGGGGGCAGGCAGCCACGCGUGGUGGUCACCACCACUCUGCUGGAGCUCUCCGUCUCCAAGUGAUGGCAUCAUUUCCAUAGCAACCCCCUCUAACGAUUUGUUUUCAAUUAAAUCCGCCACAAAAAGUGCUGCCCCAAGCUAGGCGACAGUGUCAAGGGCCCAUCUACAUCCAAAUGAUGGGGCCUCCCGAAGCUUGGUGCAGGUGGGCUGUCCUACGGUAACACCCACAGCCGCACCCGCCGUCCGCUUAAACCCGCCGCUCCGAGCAGGAGUCAUACGCACAUCAGUGCAGGAACCAAUGGGGUGUUAACAAUUAUCACAGAUUUAAUGGUAUGGCGGUGCACUGGGGUGCGCAGAUGAAUGAAUGAGGCUGGAGUGAGGUGAGGUGUGGUGGCACGGCGUAGCCUGUGCGCAGUCACCGAGAAUCUGACGCCUUUCGGGCCUUUCAGAACUGCCACGAGCAUCAAAGCUGCUCUCUCUGGCUGGAGAGUUAUCCACUUGAGUUCAUCUC